This 371-nucleotide ribosomal RNA is filed under the name uncultured bacterium. RNAcentral's name for it is "bacterial SSU rRNA". It matches the Rfam family "Bacterial small subunit ribosomal RNA", at positions 917 to 1289 of the family's 1533-position model. The record is from RNAcentral.
GGGCCCGCACAAGCGGUGGAGCAUGUGGUUUAAUUCGAUGAUACGCGAGGAACCUUACCAGGGCUUAAAUGUAGUGGGACAGGUCUAGAGAUAGACCCUUCUUCGGACUCAUUACAAGGUGCUGCAUGGUUGUCGUCAGCUCGUGCCGUGAGGUGUCAGGUUAAGUCCUAUAACGAGCGCAACCCCCUAUCGUUAGUUGCCAGCGAGUAAUGUCGGGAACUCUAACGAAACUGCCAGUGCAAACUGUGAGGAAGGUGGGAUGACGUCAAAUCAUCACGGCCCUUACGUCCUGGGCUACACACGUGGCUACAAUGCUAGCGACAAAUGGGCUGCAAGUUCGCGAGGACAAGCAAAUCCAUAAACCGUGGCUC